UACGGAGGGUGCAAGCGUUAAUCGGAAUUACUGGGCGUAAAGCGCGCGUAGGCGGCUGGUUAAGUCGAUUGUGAAAGCCCCGGGCUCAACCUGGGAAUUGCAGUCGAGACUGCUCGGCUAGAGUGUGGGAGAGGGUGGUGGAAUUCCCGGUGUAGCGGUGAAAUGCGUAGAUAUCGGGAGGAACAUCAGUGGCGAAGGCGACCACCUGGAUCAACACUGACGCUGAGGUGCGAAAGCGUGGGUAGCAAACAGG
RNAcentral lists this ribosomal RNA (253 nucleotides) under uncultured bacterium. RNAcentral's name for it is "partial 16S ribosomal RNA". It matches the Rfam family "Bacterial small subunit ribosomal RNA", at positions 524 to 776 of the family's 1533-position model. The record is from RNAcentral.